UACGAAGGGUGCAAGCGUUAAUCGGAAUUACUGGGCGUAAAGCGUGCGCAGGCGGUUUUGUAAGCCAGAUGUGAAAUCCCCGGGCUUAACCUGGGAAUGGCAUUUGGGACUGCAAGGCUUGAGUGCGGCAGAGGAGACUGGAAUUCCUGGUGUAGCAGUGAAAUGCGUAGAUAUCAGGAGGAAUACCGAUGGCGAAGGCAGGUCUCUGGGCUGACACUGACGCUCAUGCACGAAAGCGUGGGGAGCAAACAGG
RNAcentral lists this ribosomal RNA (253 nucleotides) under uncultured bacterium. RNAcentral's name for it is "partial 16S ribosomal RNA". It matches the Rfam family "Bacterial small subunit ribosomal RNA", at positions 524 to 776 of the family's 1533-position model. The record is from RNAcentral.